Molecule: transfer RNA, 72 nt
Filed under: Bos taurus (domestic cattle)
Lineage: Eukaryota; Metazoa; Chordata; Mammalia; Artiodactyla; Bovidae
Also listed under: 2 other names
Rfam family: tRNA
About the family: Transfer RNA (tRNA) molecules are approximately 80 nucleotides in length. Their secondary structure includes four short double-helical elements and three loops (D, anti-codon, and T loops).
Source: Rfam by way of RNAcentral
UCUCAGGUGGCUCAGACAGUAAAGCGUCUGCUUGCAAUGCAGAAGACCCGGGUUCAACCCCUGGGUUGGGAA